RNAcentral lists this ribosomal RNA (301 nucleotides) under uncultured bacterium. RNAcentral describes it as "partial 16S ribosomal RNA". It matches the Rfam family "Bacterial small subunit ribosomal RNA", at positions 509 to 807 of the family's 1533-position model. The record is from RNAcentral.
CAGUAGCCGCGGUAAUACGUAGGGUGCAAGCGUUAAUCGGAAUUACUGGGCGUAAAGCGUGCGCAGGCGGUUUGUUAAGACAGAUGUGAAAUCCCCGGGCUCAACCUGGGAACUGCAUUUGAGACUGUAUGGCUAGAGUGUGUCAGAGGGGGGUAGAAUUCCACGUGUAGCAGUGAAAUGCGUAGAUAUGUGGAGGAAUACCGAUGGCGAAGGCAGCCCCCUGGGAUAACACUGACGCUCAUGCACGAAAGCGUGGGGAGCAAACAGGAUUAGAUACCCCUGUAGUCCCUGUCUCUUAUAC